UGGGGAAUAUUGCACAAUGGGCGAAAGCCUGAUGCAGCAACGCCGCGUGAGUGAUGAAGGUCUUCGGAUUGUAAAGCUCUGUCUUUUGGGACGAUAAUGACGGUACCAAAGGAGGAAGCCACGGCUAACUACGUGCCAGCAGCCGCGGUAAUACGUAGGUGGCGAGCGUUGUCCGGAUUUACUGGGCGUAAAGGGUGCGUAGGCGGAUGUUUAAGUGAGAUGUGAAAUACCCGGGCUUAACUUGGGUGCUGCAUUUCAAACUGGAUAUCUAGAGUGCAGGAGAGGAGAAUGA
RNAcentral lists this ribosomal RNA (292 nucleotides) under uncultured bacterium. RNAcentral describes it as "partial 16S ribosomal RNA". It matches the Rfam family "Bacterial small subunit ribosomal RNA", at positions 355 to 664 of the family's 1533-position model. The record is from RNAcentral.